UACGUAGGGGGCAAGCGUUAUCCGGCUUUACUGGGUGUAACGGGUGCGUAGGCGGUCCGUUAAGUCAGCGGUAAAAUUGCGGGGCUCAACCCCGUCGAGCCGUUGAAACUGGCAGACUUGAGUUGGCGAGAAGUACGCGGAAUGCGUGGUGUAGCGGUGAAAUGCAUAGGUAUCACGCAGAACUCCGAUUGCGAAGGCAGCAUACCGGCGCCCGACUGACGCUGAAGCACGAAAGCGUGGGUAUCGAACAGG
RNAcentral lists this ribosomal RNA (252 nucleotides) under uncultured Bacteroidales bacterium. RNAcentral describes it as "partial 16S ribosomal RNA". It matches the Rfam family "Bacterial small subunit ribosomal RNA", at positions 524 to 776 of the family's 1533-position model. The record is from RNAcentral. Lineage: Bacteria; Pseudomonadati; Bacteroidota; Bacteroidia; Bacteroidales.